CCUACGGGUGGCUGCAGUGGGGAAUAUUGCGCAAUGGGCGAAAGCCUGACGCAGCGACGCCGCGCGGGUGAUGAAGGCCUUCGGGUUGUAAAGCCCUGUCGGGUGGAACGAACGAUCUGGCGGCGAAUAACCGCCGGGUGUGACGGUACCCGGAGAGGAAGCCCCGGCUAACUCUGUGCCAGCAGCCGCGGUAAUCCAGAGGGGGCAAGCGUUAUUCGGAGUUACUGGGCGUAAAGGGCGCGUCAGCUGUGUAAUCCCCGAGCUCAACUUGGGAACUGCAUCUGAGACUGGAAGGCUAGAGUACUGGAGAGGGUGGUGGAAUUCCUCGUGUAGCGGUGAAAUGCGUAGAGAUGAGGAGGAACACCAGUGGCGAAGGCGGCCACCUGGACAGUAACUGACGCUGAGGCGCGAAAGUGUGGGUAGCAAACAGGAUUAGAUACCCCGGUAGUC
Molecule: ribosomal RNA, 450 nt
Filed under: uncultured bacterium
Lineage: Bacteria
Description: partial 16S ribosomal RNA
Rfam family: Bacterial small subunit ribosomal RNA
Source: RNAcentral